CAGUAGCCGCGGGAAUACGGAGGGUGCUAGCGUUGUUCGGAAUCACUGGGCGUAAAGGGCGCGUAGGCGGCCUGUUAAGUCGGAUGUGAAAGCCCGGGGCUCAACCCCGGAACUGCAUCCGAGACUGGCAGGCUUGAGACCGGGAGAGGAGGGUGGAAUAUCCAGUGUAGAGGUGAAAUUCGUAGAUAUUGGAUGGAACACCGGUGGCGAAAGCGGCUCUCUGGCCCGGAUCUGACGCUGAGGCGCGAAAGCGUGGGGAGCAAACAGGAUUAGAUACCCCUGUAGUCCCUGUCUCUUAUAC
This 301-nucleotide ribosomal RNA is filed under the name uncultured bacterium. RNAcentral's name for it is "partial 16S ribosomal RNA". It matches the Rfam family "Bacterial small subunit ribosomal RNA", at positions 509 to 807 of the family's 1533-position model. The record is from RNAcentral.